AAUGACCAUGGGUCCUCUUAUAUACUUGAGGCCCAAGUACAUUCCUUUAAACGAUCGUAACUAACUCGUAACAACCUCUUCCACGUCAGCAGUCUCCUCUUCUCUUCUUCCUUCUUCCUGCUGCUUCUUUCUCUUCCUCACAUAGACCCUCCAGGGCAUAUCAAUACCCCUAUUGGCGAGACUCAGCUUGUCCUCAAGUGAGAAAGAAGGAAACUGAU
This 218-nucleotide long non-coding RNA is filed under the name Brassica rapa (field mustard). RNAcentral's name for it is "long non-coding RNA (BRAP_LNC006377)". The record is from RNAcentral. Lineage: Eukaryota; Viridiplantae; Streptophyta; Magnoliopsida; Brassicales; Brassicaceae.